Molecule: ribosomal RNA, 243 nt
Filed under: uncultured bacterium
Lineage: Bacteria
Description: partial 16S ribosomal RNA
Rfam family: Bacterial small subunit ribosomal RNA
Source: RNAcentral
UAACGCGUGGGCAACCUGCCUUAUACAGGGGGAUAACAGCUGGAAACAGCUGCUAAUACCGCAUAAGCGCACAGUGCUGCAUGGUGCAGUGUGAAAAACUGAGGUGGUAUAAGAUGGGCCCGCGUCUGAUUAGCUGGUUGGGAGGGUAACGGCCUACCAAGGCGACGAUCAGUAGCCGGCCUGAGAGGGCGGACGGCCACAUUGGGACUGAGACACGGCCCAGACUCCUACGGGAGGCAGCAG